UCCAGACUCCUACGGGAGGCAGCAGUGGGGGAUAUUGCACAAUGGGGGAAACCCUGAUGCAGCGACGCCGCGUGAGUGAAGAAGUAUUUCGGUAUGUAAAGCUCUAUCAGCAGGGAAGAAAAAAGACGGUACCUGACUAAGAAGCCCCGGCUAACUACGUGCCAGCAGCCGCGGUAAUACGUAGGGGGCAAGCGUUAUCCGGAUUUACUGGGUGUAAAGGGGGCGCAGACGGCAGCGCAAGCCAGGAGUGAAAGCCCGGGGCCCAACCCCGGGACUGCUCUUGGAACUGCGCGGCUGGAGUGCAGGAGGGGCAGGCGGAAUUCCUGGUGUAGCGGUGAAAUGCGUAGAUAUCAGGAGGAACACCGGUGGCGAAGGCGGCCUGCUGGACUGCAACUGACGUUGAGGCCCGAAAGCGUGGGGAGCAAACAGGAUUAGAUACCCCUGUAAG
Molecule: ribosomal RNA, 448 nt
Filed under: uncultured bacterium
Lineage: Bacteria
Description: partial 16S ribosomal RNA
Rfam family: Bacterial small subunit ribosomal RNA
Source: RNAcentral